Molecule: microRNA, 20 nt
Filed under: Corchorus capsularis
Lineage: Eukaryota; Viridiplantae; Streptophyta; Magnoliopsida; Malvales; Malvaceae
Description: sRNA CCACVL1_09236
Source: RNAcentral
AAAGAAGAAGAAGAAGAAAA